GCGUGCAGGACGAAGGCCUUCGGGUUGUAAACUGCUUUUGUACGGAGCGAAACGAUCUUCUCUAAUACAGAGGGUUAAUGACGGUACCGUAAGAAUAAGCACCGGCUAACUACGUGCCAGCAGCCGCGGUAAUACGUAGGGUGCAAGCGUUAAUCGGAAUUACUGGGCGUAAAGCGUGCGCAGGCGGUCCUUUAAGACAGGUGUGAAAUCCCCGGGCUUAACCUGGGAACUGCAUUUGUGACUGAAGGGCUAGAGUACGGCAGAGGGGGAUGGAAUUCCGCGUGUAGCAGUGAAAUGCGU
This 300-nucleotide ribosomal RNA is filed under the name uncultured bacterium. Its description in RNAcentral is "bacterial SSU rRNA". It matches the Rfam family "Bacterial small subunit ribosomal RNA", at positions 399 to 691 of the family's 1533-position model. The record is from RNAcentral.